RNAcentral lists this transfer RNA (76 nucleotides) under Lactococcus phage PLG-II. Its description in RNAcentral is "tRNA-Trp". It matches the Rfam family "tRNA". From Rfam's summary of the family: Transfer RNA (tRNA) molecules are approximately 80 nucleotides in length. The record is from RNAcentral. Lineage: Duplodnaviria; Heunggongvirae; Uroviricota; Caudoviricetes.
UGCAUCAAUAGUGUAACGGUAGCACAAUAGUCUCCAAAACUGUUAGCGAUGGUUCGAGUCCUUCUUGAUGUGUAUA